AUCUGUUGUUGCCCACUGACUUUGAGCCACUGGACUCGGAGGAGCCCAGUGAGGCCAUGGGUCUAGGUGCCGGCCUAGCCCCGGGCUCAGGCUUCCCCAGUGAGGACAGCGAGGAGUCCCGGCUCCUGCAGCCACCACAGUACUUCUGGGAAGAGGAGGAACUAAACGGCUCCAGCCUGGACCUGGGUCCCACUGCAGGACCGGACAGAUAGUUCAGUGGUUUAGAGCACUGGCCGCUCUUCAAAAGGACCCAGGUUUGAUUGCCCGCACUCCUAUGGUGGCUCACAACCAAUCAUCUAUAAUUCCCAGUUCCAGAGGAUCCAACAGGCAUGAAAGUGAUGCAAAUGUAUGCAGGUGAACAUUCAUGCACACACAGUGAAAACAAAUAAAAUGUAGUUUUC
This 401-nucleotide long non-coding RNA is filed under the name Rattus norvegicus (Norway rat). Its description in RNAcentral is "long non-coding RNA NONRATT021608". The record is from RNAcentral. Lineage: Eukaryota; Metazoa; Chordata; Mammalia; Rodentia; Muridae.